This 2677-nucleotide long non-coding RNA is filed under the name Panax ginseng (ginseng). Its description in RNAcentral is "long non-coding RNA (PGIN_LNC000602)". Lineage: Eukaryota; Viridiplantae; Streptophyta; Magnoliopsida; Apiales; Araliaceae. The record is from RNAcentral.
ACAAACUUCACCAAAGCAUAUUGAGAGAAGUUUACUUAAGAUAAGAUCACUCAAACUCUCUCUCUCUCUCUCUCUCUCUCUCUAUAUAUAUAUAUAUAUAUAUGCUUGCUUACUUUACAACUGAGAAGUGAGAACUAUAACCUCUGAUUUCAAUUGCGGCCUUGAUCACAUUAAAGGAGGCAUGUACGGCAUCUCUUUUGAGCCUUGACUGCUCCGUUCACAGAUUGCAGAAAAAAUACCAGAUAAAAAGCACCCUUUUUGAGAUUGGUUGGAGCUCUUACAUGUCACCACUACUGUCAUAACUCAGAACUCACCACCUAUUGUUAGAAUCUGUUUCACAACCCAUUAAAAUUCAUAGACAAUUGGAAGUAUGAUGUUGAUGCAUGGGAUUGUCUCUUCCAACAUUGUGAAUUAUUUUCUUUAUCCAUUGCAUACAGUGCAAUUUUUAUUGUUUAAUCACUAUUUAUAACUGGAAUUUUUGUUUCUUUUCUCUAUUCUAUGUAUAUUGAAAUUUGAUUUAUGCGUGUUUAUGGUGUAGCCAGAUAACUAUUGGCUGGAAUCUGUUUACUAGGGACUAGUUGCGAAGAAUGCAGAACAAUUCUUACCAUCUUACUCUGUUUGGUUUAAUUGGUUCUUGUGACAUAUUCAGGUAAAUUUCUUUCUUCUUUCUGUAAAUAAUUAGUCCUGGUCUUAAACAUAUAUUAUAUAUAUGGAUAUAUAUACACACACAGACACUCAAAAACGCACAAACAAAUAUUUAUACAAACACACGCAUAUAAACGAAUUUAAGAAAAAACUACAAUUAGUUUAAAAAUUGGAGACGUCGUAGGACAUGAGUUUGUGAUGACAUAUUUUGAAGUAUUUCAUAUUGGAGGCGAGAAUAAUAUGAGAUUGAUGAUAUCAAUUUUGAAACCAAACACUAAAAUUUCUAAUAUUUAGCAUUAUUCUUAGCUCAUCUUUAGGAAAUUUAUACAUUGAUCUUAUUUAUAUUCCUUGUAAAGAUAAAACUAGAAGAUAUAGGAAAAUGAUGUUUAAGGUUGCAAAAUUUAUUGUUCCAGAACGAAAGUGUACAUAUUUUGGAAAGUUUAUACAAGAUGAAAUUUACGAACGUGUUACUGUUUUAUGGUAGUUCUAUUCCAAACAAUUGCUCUAUAGUUUUUCUACUUUCAGAUCUUAUGUUUGGGGUUGUGCCAUCUGAGCUUCUGUUCCCUAUGUAAAUCUAAACUAAUUUUCAAUGAAGUGAUGUUGAUGGUGAAAGUUUUUAAUAUAUGGAUUUCCCAUUUGUUUGUACACAUGUAAAGGAAAGCAAGCAGGGUGUCAACAACAUAUUAUACAGUAUUAAAGAUGCAUAAAUGAUGGUGUCUCCUUUCUGAUUAUAAUUGCAAAAUUUCCUCUUUUUCAGCCAUCAACAUAAUAUAUUUAUAAUAUAUAUGUAUAUGCGUCUGUGUGUGCGUAUGCACAUGUGCGUAUUUAACUAUUUAUGUAUGUAUGUGUGUGAUAAGGAUCUUUUCAUAUGCCAGGGAAUAUGAGAAGAUCCUUGGGCCCAUUUUUCAUUUCCACCCUUGUUUAGUUGUUUAUAACACCAAAUAGAUUCUUAUACAGUGACUGUGCAUUGCGAGCCUACUUACCCCUACGAUAUUAGUUGCUCCUAAUUUGGGUUCGUUAUAAUUACAUGUUGUAGGCUCGUAGCACUUUUCACUAAAUGUGUGUGGAACAUUUUCACAUAAUGUAAGGUUGAAAGGCAACUAUUGGCAGAAAUAUUUGUAUCCACUUGCAAUUUGUAAUUCGAAUGUUCAUGCAUCUUUAUAUAUAAAAAAUACAAAUAUUCAUGUAUAUUAUUACUUAUCCAAAAAAAAAAAGUUCAUGUAUCUUAUUCCAUUCUAAGUAGCAUACAUAUGGUUCUAGUCAUUGGUAUGAGUUUUCGUUGAGAAGAUUGCAUUGUACCUCACAAAUGAAGUUCUACACUUUUUAUUGAUUUGGAUUAUUUUUUAUAUUGGUUAAUCCAGGGGUGAUUCAUUUUAUAAUGAGGACUUCAAUGGUCUCUUCUGAGGCACUGCCACAACCUUAACAGAGGAAAAGGAAGCAUGUGAUUACAACUAGCUCUCUUGAUGAGCACUUGAGCAGCCUGACUGAGUUCACUUAGUUGGUUUGGAAGUGAUGAUACCCAAAAUCUUAAUUCCAAUGUCUGUGAAGAUGGCUGCACUAUUGGAAUCUCUUCUAACUAUGGUAUGUUUUAGUAUCUCUUGUGAAGAAUGAUUACUAUCUUCCAUUGAUUGAGAAGAAGUGAAAUACACUUGCAGAUGAUGGGAUCCGCCGUCAUUAGCAAUGUUCUGAAAAGUAGUAGGCGGACAUUGGUGAUGGAGGGAACUUUGAGCGCCUAGGCCAUGUAGUCGGCACCUAGGCAGUUUUCUAGGCGGUGUAAUUUUAUUUUAUUUUAUUAUUAGUAAAAUUGUUGGGGUAGAAUUUAAAACAUAUCAAACUUUAGGACUAUGAGUAAUAUUAUGAAGAAACUUUGAUGAGUUUAUUUUAGCAUAUUUUUUUAGAGAGUUUUAUGGUGGUGGAUCUUUACAUAUUUUUGAGAAGGCGACUAUUGUGGCAUCCCGAUAAUGUAUUCUACUUCUUCCAUUUUUUGGUUCUGUUUUCUUUCUGAAACUGUUGAUGCGAAGUCCGGUUUGAG